UAAUUCAGCAACAUUAAUUCUAGUGUCAAAUGUCUUGAAAUUCUUUCAGCACAUGAACUAUUGUGUGAUGCAAAAACAAUGUGUGUUUACUACAAUGUGUAAAUCAACAAUAAGUUUGUUGCAAAGAAGAUUCAAAGUGGGUGGUUAAAGUGAAUGCUGAAGAACAGCUGUAACAGGUUAAACCCCAAGGUGAAAUUUACAUUGAUCGGAAGAUCCAUUGGACAGAAUGUGCAUCAUCGCCUGCCAAAAAAGGGAGCAAAAAGGGGACUACCUGAUGUAUGGACAUGUAUACCAGGCCAACUUGAGGGGAACAGGAGUGGGAAACCGUGCCCUGUAGCUUGUCCUUGACCAAGAAAAGAUGGAUUUGUUGAGAGGACCUGAUCUCAAAUGAGAUCAUGCACGAGAAGCGCCUCGCAGACCAUGACAGUAGUAUUCAGACCUGAUCAGCUGGUGAAGUGCUCUAUAAAGGGUUGUUUAUGAAUGCAUUCUUUGUAAGGAACAGUGUAUAACAACAAAUAUAGUGACAGGGGCUAAGCUGCUAAAUAUUGUCAGAAUGUAUGCAGUGAUUUUCUUUGGAAAUUUAAAACAACCUGUACGUACUGGCUCUCAGAAGGGCAUGUUUUAGCGCAAUAAUGAACAAAAAAAGGAAGAUCUUAAAAAUAAGGUAUAGAUUUAUAUAAAUUUCAUGAAUACUGUUCAUUUAUCAUAUAUUAGGAUCCAGAAUAUGAUUGAAUUGAAUGUGAUGCUUUUAUCCAUAUUAAAAAGGGAUUUGGAAUUAAUGUAAUACAUAAAAAUCUAGUAAAUGAUAGGGAAAACAUUUCAGCUUAAGGAGGGGAAAUCUUUAAUAUUUUUGAAGCGGAAACCACCUGUAUUUGGCUGUUAAUCAGUUACCGAUAAUCAGAGGGGAGAAAAAUCACUGGUAUUAGCUUGAUAUUUUCAAUUGUUAAUUCCAGAUAGGCAAUAGCCCGUUUGAAUCCUCUCUUUUAUGUAGAUAUGUAACAUUUGUUUUUGUUUUUUAAGGUUUAACAUUCUAAUAAAAGUGUGUAUUUAUCUAUUGAAUUGUACUUUUUGUUUUUUAUGUAUGUGUUUACACUAACCUUUCAUUUAAAGAAUGAAUGCUGACUUCAAAAUGCUGGGACUUUUUUAAUUUGGUUAAUUUUUAAGCAUAUUAAUUUGAAGUGAUGAAAAGUACACUUGAGCGUAUAAUGCGCUUAAAAAAUUCACUUCCAACACUUCAAAAAGUGAAUCAUUUGUAUGACUGAAAAUGCACUCAAGUGUAUAAAUGCGCUUAAAAAUUUACUUUUAAUAUUGUAAAGUGUAUUAUUUGUAUGACCGGGAAUGCACUCAAGUGUAUUAAUGCGCUUAAAAAAAUUCACUUUCAAUUUUGUAAGGUGUAUUAUUUGUAUCAGUGGAAAUGCACUCAAGUGUAUUAAUGCGCUUACAAAAAUUCACUUUGAAUACUCAAUGAAGUGUAUUAUUUGUAUGACUGGAAAUGCACUCAAGUGUAUUAAUGCGCUUAAAUAAUUUGCUUUUAAUUCUGUAAUGUGUAUUAUUUGAAUGACUGGAAAUGCACUCAAGUGUAUUAAUGCGCUUUAAAAAAUUUACUUUGACCAUGAAGUGUAUUAUUUGUAUGUCUUAAAAUACACUCAAGUGUAUAAAUGCACUUAAAAAUAAACUUAAGCGCACUUAUUAUCAUAAUAAACGCACUUAAGUGUAUUAUUUCGUGGAAAAAAAAUACACUUAAAUGUAUAAACACA
Long non-coding RNA from Dreissena polymorpha, 1757 nucleotides. RefSeq lists it as uncharacterized. The record is from RefSeq and is a predicted model, not a curated record. The transcript is spliced from 3 exons. NCBI's taxonomy places the organism in Eukaryota, Metazoa, Mollusca, Bivalvia, Myida, Dreissenidae.